This 445-nucleotide ribosomal RNA is filed under the name uncultured bacterium. Its description in RNAcentral is "bacterial SSU rRNA". It matches the Rfam family "Bacterial small subunit ribosomal RNA", at positions 354 to 796 of the family's 1533-position model. The record is from RNAcentral.
GUGAGGAAUAUUGCGCAAUGGAGGCAACUCUGACGCAGCCAUGCCGCGUGCAGGAAGAAGGCGCUACGCGUUGUAAACUGCUUUUAACCGGGAAGAAACCCCAGGACGUGUCCUGGGUUGACGGUACCGGAGGAAUAAGCACCGGCUAACUUCGUGCCAGCAGCCGCGGUAAUACGAAGGGUGCAAGCGUUAUCCGGAUUCAUUGGGUUUCAAGGGUGCGUAGGCGGAGCGUUAAGUCAGUGGUGAACUCCUGCAGCUUAACUGUAGACUUGCCAUUGAUACUGGCGCUCUUGAGUGCGCUUGAAGUGGGCGGAAUGUGCCGUGUAGCGGUGAAAUGCUUAGAUAUGGCACAGAACACCAAUUGCGAAGGCAGCUCACUAAGGCGAUACUGACGCUGAGGCACGAAAGCGUGGGGAUCGAACAGGAUUAGAAACCCUUGUAGUCC